GCCCAUUUAAAGCAGUGGUUAGCUUGCUGCCCUCCGAUUCCUUCCUUUGUCGGGCGAGGCAGAAGUCGCGGGUUCGAAUCCCGCAAUGGGUU
This is a non-coding RNA of Xylariomycetidae sp. FL2044, 92 nucleotides long. The record is from the annotation of a GenBank genome assembly. Lineage: Eukaryota; Fungi; Ascomycota; Sordariomycetes.